Molecule: small RNA, 68 nt
Organism: Sporolactobacillus laevolacticus DSM 442
Lineage: Bacteria; Bacillati; Bacillota; Bacilli; Caryophanales; Sporolactobacillaceae
Rfam family: Bacillaceae-1 RNA
Source: Rfam
UAAAAAGGAUCUUCAACUAAAUACGCUCACGUCCUGUGAGCAACGUUGAAGCCACCACAUCCUGCGGA